RNAcentral lists this ribosomal RNA (453 nucleotides) under uncultured organism. Its description in RNAcentral is "partial 16S ribosomal RNA". It matches the Rfam family "Bacterial small subunit ribosomal RNA", at positions 330 to 799 of the family's 1533-position model. The record is from RNAcentral.
CGUACACUCCUGCGGGAGGCAGCAGUGGGGAAUCUUGCGCAAUGGGCGAAAGCCUGACGCAGCCAUGCCGCGUGAAUGAUGAAGGUCUUAGGAUUGUAAAAUUCUUUCACCGGGGACGAUAAUGACGGUACCCGGAGAAGAAGCCCCGGCUAACUUCGUGCCAGCAGCCGCGGUAAUACGAAGGGGGCUAGCGUUGCUCGGAAUUACUGGGCGUAAAGGGAGCGUAGGCGGACAUUUAAGUCAGGGGUGAAAUCCCGGGGCUCAACCUCGGAAUUGCCUUUGAUACUGGGUGUCUUGAGUAUGAGAGAGGUGUGUGGAACUCCGAGUGUAGAGGUGAAAUUCGUAGAUAUUCGGAAGAACACCAGUGGCGAAGGCGACACACUGGCUCAUUACUGACGCUGAGGCUCGAAAGCGUGGGGAGCAAACAGGAUUAGAUACCCCGGUAGUCCCAUG